This 384-nucleotide ribosomal RNA is filed under the name uncultured bacterium. Its description in RNAcentral is "bacterial SSU rRNA". It matches the Rfam family "Bacterial small subunit ribosomal RNA", at positions 28 to 412 of the family's 1533-position model. The record is from RNAcentral.
GACGAACGCUGGCGGCGUGCUUAACACAUGCAAGUCGAGCGGUAAGGCCCUUUCGGGGGUACACGAGCGGCGAACGGGUGAGUAACACGUGGGUGACCUGCCUCUAGCUCUGGGAUAAGCCCGGGAAACUGGGUCUAAUACUGGAUAUGACUCCAUGACGCAUGUUGUGGGGUGGAAAGCCUUGUGCGGCUAGAGAUGGGCCCGCGGCCUAUCAGCUUGUUGGUGGGGGAUGGCCUACCAAGGCGACGACGGGUAGCCGGCCUGAGAGGGCGACCGGCCACACUGGGACUGAGACACGGCCCAGACUCCUACGGGAGGCAGCAGUGGGGAAUCUUGCGCAAGUGGGACGAAAGCCUGACGCAGCGACGCCGCGUGAGGGAUGAC